CCGUGCCGCCUGUCCGCCUGUGGGACCUGCUCCGUGGGCUUUUCAUCAGCUGCCAUUUUCACCAGCAUGCAGUAAUUUCAUGGCUCAUUGCAAGCGCUGAAAACCUUUGAAACUGCAAAUGUUAACUUUUGCCUGGCCCGGAGCCAUUUAGAAAGCGAUUAAUUCGGCAAACAGACGUGAGCCACUUUCUCCUCCCAAGUUUUCACAUAAUUUUCCGACCCUUUCUAUCUGGGAUUUGCAUUGCAGGGAACUCGCAGGACAAGGAUAAUAACCAUUCCUGUUAAUUGUGGUUUGGUGAAGACACAAGGCCUGUCGCUCUACAGUCUGAUCUGCCCGUUUGUCCCAAUCUAGUCCAGAACAGGAAGAAUGGACAAAGAAUCAGAUCAAGAAUGAGAGAAAAACAUGUACAAGGAUCUUGGAAGGCAGUGGAUGAAAUGCUGUUGAGUGAUCGAGACUGAGGAACAUUUCUGGAUGGCAUGAAGGUUGACAUGGCCGCGGUCCAAGAUCAUCGUGCCCGAGACCACACAGAUGGGGAUGAGAUAAAACUUCUAAAUUCUCUUUUGUGUGCCACAGAAAAAUCACAUCUUGGAAAGUGUUGCACUCAACACCGUUUUCAGAGAAGAAAGACGAGGAGAAACCACAAACAAACUUCAUCAGUUCUCGCAUGUAUCAUGAAAAUGCCAGGUUUGAAUAUGUGAGCGUGGAGUUCAAGGCUUUAAGAACCACAGGGUCAAACUCCUAGAGAACAAAACACAAACCGAAGAAGAGCUUCAAAAUGGAGGGAUGAGAAUCAGCGGUGAAAGAGAGGAAAGGACGAGUGCAGAGAAAACAAAGAAACGGAGGAACAACACAGAGAAGAAGGGAAGAAAAAAAGCCAGAGAGAAGAAGAAAUGAAACCUGUUUUCAGACGUAAUCCAACCUUGAACGAUAUGAAAAGACAGAAAGGACAGGGUGGCCCUGCACUUGCCCGGGGUCACUUAAUUAAUUUGGAGGUGCUCGUUAAUACAAACCACACGCGCUGCCCCUGACCUGCCACAGGAGCUCACAGGAGGGCCAGAGAAGUCAUAUUCAGCCUCAUUCAGAAUUACAUGAAACAACAGACUGUAACAGCUGUGGCCUUCAAAUGAAAUGUUAGUGAAAACCACACAAGCACACAAUAGAAAUGAACAUAUAUGCAGCAUAUUACUCUUAUUACAGGGGGUCCAGAGUUCAAGGGAACAGCUGUGAAUGAAUUGAGAAUAUAUUGUGCUUUUUAACAUGGAAAUUAAUAGCUUUUUACAGAAAUGUCAGAAUGCCUGUAGGUCCAGACUGUACGCUUUAAAUUGGCUAAAAGUUUAACUCCCUCCUUUUCUCACAAACUGGGCAUCUAGUUACGUUCCUGAAAGAAUAUUAUCUACAGAGCUUAGAAAAGAUUAGAUGAGAAUGUCUGUCUGUCUGUCUGUCUGUCUGUCUGUCUGUCUAUCUAUCUAUCUAUCUAUCUAUCUAUCAAAACCAGCAUGAAAUUCUCUUCACCUAAAAAUCAUGUAAUAUAAAAUGAAGGGAGGAAUGUAAUGUGUGCUAAAUGACUCACUGACACUAAUUUUCAGAGCAUGAAACAUCACGUGCUACCCUUUUUUUUUCCCUUUUUUUUUGUUUGUUUAAAUCUGUAUUCAAUGAGAGGUUACAUGGUAUUAAAUUUUGUUAAAAUAUGAACCAUUUGGAAUAAUAUGCACAUGUGAAAAUUAUCAAUAAAAUUAUUAAUAUUAAUAUAAUUCAUUAAUAUAAUCACUUAUGAACAAUAUUCAUAAGUGUCAUUGAUAAACAUGCUCAGUUUAAAGGGGACCUAUAAUGCCCCUUUUCACAAGAUAUAAGUCUCUUGUGUCCCUAGAAUGUGUCUGUGAAGUUUGAGCUCAAAAUACCCCACAGAUCAUUUAUUAAAGCUUGUCAAAUUUGCUCCUAUUCGGGUGUGAGCAAAAAUAUGUUGUUUUUGUGUGUGUCCCUAUAAAUGCAAAUGAGCUGCUGCUUACUUUCCAAAAGAGGGCGGAGCUUUAACAGCUCGCGCUUCGGUUGCUCAACAACAACAAAGCUGGAGAAUCUCACGCAGCCAAAAUGAGGAUUGUCAGUAACGGUGUUCAGCCUUACAUUGUUCAAACCGGAGUCGGACACUGAUGGAGAGACUCAGGAAGAAGUUACAACUUUUAGAAUGCAACAUUUCUGAAUGGUUAGUGGAUAAAUUUAUGUAGUUGCUGGGAAGAACCCGGGAAGAAGCUCAUUGUAGUCCCUACCAGCUGUUUGUUGUAGUCCUUAAAAAGUGUUUUCUGUAAAAGAAAAUAUCUCCCUUUGCAUUGAACUUUGAGUGUCGUAACUUUGCAGAUGUUAUUUAUGCUCAAACAGCAACAUUACACACUAACUAAAGUUAAAAAGGUGAAAUCAUAAUCAAGGACCCCUUUAAAUUUUAUGUUGGCAUGAGCCUCAGUGUACCACUGAUGGCACCAAGUGGAAUUGCAAAAAAUAAUGAUUGGCUGCCAUUGGUUCAUCCUAAUUUUUAGUCCCACCCCAAACUCAGGCCAUUGGUUGAGUGAGAAGUUGACAUAUCAAACAACAGAGCAAUGUUUGAAUGUGUCACAAAAAUUACUGCUUUAAAUUUGCAAUUAGAGUACAACAGAAAUCAAGUUGUAAUGAACAUGAGCUUUAAAACAUUACAAAUAAUUAAAUGAUAAAAAUUUGAUAUAGAUUUUUCACCACAAUUUUAGAACUCAGCUCUGAAUCGCUAACGUUAUUCUCCUUCAUGGUUCGAGCUCGCAGCCCGCCAGCGCUGGAGCAGAGGAUGCUGGGAAGAGCACACUUCUUGCCAGAGUGUAAUGGCUGGUGAAAGCAGAAGCAAACUGCACAGAGGCAGAUAAAGGUUUCCUCAAGGUGCAGCUCUGUUGACUAGUUAACCCCUUGAAAUUAUGCCGUAGUUUCAGACUCCGUUCCAAAGUCCUGGAAUUGGGUUACAAGAUAAUUUCACAGGCGACUUGCUUGUCUUACUUGGCAGUUCAACUGGCUAAUUGAAGAAGGCGAUUUCCGGGCCCUGAAACUGUUUAAGAAAUGAUACUUUAAAUUUGAGUAAAGAGAUUUUCUGUGACGUAGACGUUGCAGGAUUUUGGAAUAUAUAUGAAUGUAUUUUUCACCAAAUGCAUGAUGAAAGUAGCACAUUGAAAGUCUUCAGUUAGUUGAAGAUCAGUUUUGAGGUAAAAUGUAUGCACUUUUCUCAUUUGCAUUUUUGCCUUAUGGAUUUCCAAAAUUUUGAUUUCUAGACUUGGAAAAGUCAUUGAAAUUUUUUUUUUUUUUUCUUUCUUUUUCUAGUUAUGGUAAUCUGUAAAAUAUUUCAUUGCCUGGACAUGCAAUUUCUAUUAAAUUACUUCUAAAAAAAUCUCAUCUGUAAUCACAAAGGAAAUCAUGGAAAUUCAUUUGACCUACCAUUUAUAUGCACCCCUCUCUAUUUUAUUGCUUUUUCAUUUUAUUUCUAAAACUGUUUCUGACACUUUAAACUCUUUUUGAAUAGGACAUACAAUCAUUCUGUACGUUCUUUUUUGUAUACGUUAGAGAGAUUUGUAUUGUGCUUUAAAAAUAAACUUCAACUGCAUCGAAUCAAUACAUUUUUUUUUUUUUUAAUUAAUUCACAAAAUAUUCCUCUGAAAUGCACAAAAAAUGUCCCAUCAAAAUUAAAUUAGAAGAUUCCACACACACUACAUUUUUAUUCAGAUAGCAUGUGAGAGGGUGUUUUAUGGUGCACAGAAACUGCAUAUGAAUCUGAGACAAUGUCAAGUUAUGGUCAGAUUUAAAAGAAUUACACUACUAAUCAAAGGUUAAUUCUUUUUACAGGAUUGUUUUUUUUAGACG
Long non-coding RNA from Ctenopharyngodon idella (grass carp), 3864 nucleotides. RefSeq lists it as uncharacterized. The transcript is spliced from 7 exons. NCBI's taxonomy places the organism in Eukaryota, Metazoa, Chordata, Actinopteri, Cypriniformes, Xenocyprididae. The record is from RefSeq and is a predicted model, not a curated record.